This 77-nucleotide ribosomal RNA is filed under the name Clostridium cibarium. Its description in RNAcentral is "Clostridium sp. Sa3CVN1 partial 23S ribosomal RNA". It matches the Rfam family "Bacterial large subunit ribosomal RNA", at positions 2852 to 2925 of the family's 2925-position model. Lineage: Bacteria; Bacillati; Bacillota; Clostridia; Eubacteriales; Clostridiaceae. The record is from RNAcentral.
GUUGAUAGGUCAGAGGUGUAAGUGUGGUAACAUAUUUAGCUGACUGAUACUAAUAGGUCGAGGGCUUGACCAAAUAA